Non-coding RNA from Daphnia pulex (common water flea), 72 nucleotides. The record is from Rfam. Lineage: Eukaryota; Metazoa; Arthropoda; Branchiopoda; Diplostraca; Daphniidae.
UCCCAUAUUGUCUAGUGGUUAGGAUAUCUGGCUCUCACCCAGGAGGCCCGGGUUCAAUUCCCUUUAUGGGGA